RNAcentral lists this ribosomal RNA (575 nucleotides) under Bjerkandera adusta. Its description in RNAcentral is "partial large subunit ribosomal RNA". It matches the Rfam family "Eukaryotic large subunit ribosomal RNA", at positions 98 to 656 of the family's 3401-position model. Lineage: Eukaryota; Fungi; Basidiomycota; Agaricomycetes; Polyporales; Phanerochaetaceae. The record is from RNAcentral.
GCGGGAAAAGCUCAAAUUUAAAAUCUGGCGGUCUUCGGCCGUCCGAGUUGUAAUCUGGAGAAGCGUUUUCCGCGCUGGACCGUGUACAAGUCUCUUGGAACAGAGCGUCAUAGAGGGUGAGAAUCCCGUCUUUGACACGGACUACCAGUGCUAUGUGAUGCGCUCUCGAUGAGUCGAGUUGUUUGGGAAUGCAGCUCAAAAUGGGUGGUAAAUUCCAUCUAAAGCUAAAUAUUGGCGAGAGACCGAUAGCGAACAAGUACCGUGAGGGAAAGAUGAAAAGCACUUUGGAAAGAGAGUUAAACAGUACGUGAAAUUGCUGAAAGGGAAACGAUUGAAGUCAGUCGCGUGUGCUAGAACUCAGCCUUGCUUUUGCUUGGUGCAUUUUCUAGUGUACGGGCCAGCAUCAGUUUUGGCCGCCGGAAAAAGGCCUUGGGAAUGUGGCACCUUCGGGUGUGUUAUAGCCCUUGGUUGUAUACGGUGGCUGGGACUGAGGAACAUAGCAUGCCUUUACGGCGGGGCUUCGGCCACCUUCAUGCUUUGGAUGCUGGCGUAAUGGCUUUAAACGACCCGUCUUA